Molecule: ribosomal RNA, 496 nt
Filed under: uncultured bacterium
Lineage: Bacteria
Description: partial 16S ribosomal RNA
Rfam family: Bacterial small subunit ribosomal RNA
Source: RNAcentral
AUGCACGCUGGCGGCGUGCCUAAUACAUGCAAGUCGAGCGAACGGACGAGAAGCUUGCUUUUCUGAUGUUAGCGGCGGACGGGUGAGUAACACGUGGAUAACCUACCUAUAAGACUGGGAUAACUUCGGGAAACCGGAGCUAAUACCGGAUAAUAUUUUGAACCGCAUGGUUCAUAAGUGAAAGACGGUCUUGCUGUCACUUAUAGAUGGAUCCGCGCUGCAUUAGCUAGUUGGUAAGGUAGCGGCUUACCAAGGCAACGAUGCAUAGCCGACCUGAGAGGGUGAUCGGCCACACUGGAACUGAGACACGGUCCAGACUCCUACGGGAGGCAGCAGUAGGGAAUCUUCCGCAAUGGGCGAAAGCCUGACGGAGCAACGCCGCGUGAGUGAUGAAGGUCUUCGGAUCGUAAAACUCUGUUAUUAGGGAAGAACAUAUGUGUAAGUAACUGUGCACAUCUUGACGGUACCUAAUCAGAAAGCCACGGCUAACUACGUG